GUGAUUUUAGUUUAAUAAAAAUAUUUAUUUUGCGUGUAAAUGAUUUGGGUUUUUCCAGAGAUCACA
RNAcentral lists this transfer RNA (66 nucleotides) under Cercodemas anceps. Its description in RNAcentral is "tRNA-Ala". Lineage: Eukaryota; Metazoa; Echinodermata; Holothuroidea; Dendrochirotida; Cucumariidae. The record is from RNAcentral.